Scatophagus argus is the source of this 643-nucleotide long non-coding RNA. RefSeq lists it as uncharacterized. Lineage: Eukaryota; Metazoa; Chordata; Actinopteri; Scatophagidae. The transcript has 3 exons. The record is from RefSeq and is a predicted model, not a curated record.
ACGGUUACUGCACCGUUGUGAGGGAUGCGUUGUGUAAUUUAAAUGAAAAGACGACUUCUACUUCGACUUAAUAUCGACUUAACUCGAUAUUUAAGAAGUGUGAGGUUGCUCCAAUUGUGCCGACUCUGACGAAGAGGAGAGGAAGUCACCAAGGCCUCCUCUGCGAAGCCUUAAAGCGUCUCAUGAUCUUCAGCACGUGUUUGACGAUCAUCUGAAGUCUGUGUGUGGAGGCCUGGGAGGACGACUCGCUUCCCUCGCUGCUGUUGGACAGCUGGGAGUCGGUAUUUCAAAAAGUAAGUGAAGGCAGCAGCAGAGUCUCACCAGGAGGCGGGGCCAGCGUGUGAAAGGAAGGCUAUUGGUGGAGCUCCCAGCACCUGGGUCAGCACUUCACUUGAGUCCCAGACAGCUGAAGUCCUUCAUCAUCACAGCACAGCACUUGUGUUCUUCGUGGUUUUGUGACCGCGGAUGAGCUUUUUCUGCUUCGCUUCGGACUUCGAACAACUGCAAGCAUUAGCUGACUUUACUUUAUGACUGCAGAGCAGCAUGUUUCUGACCUUGAACUGGGACUUUGUGUUCUGUAAAUGUUGCAUUUUACUGGAUUAUUAUAGAACAUGAAAUUCUGUGUGUGCUAGCUGUUCAUAAA